ACUCCUACGGGAGGCAGCAGUGGGGAAUAUUGCACAAUGGGGGAAACCCUGAUGCAGCCAUGCCGCGUGUGUGAAGAAGGCCUUCGGGUUGUAAAGCACUUUCAGUAGGGAGGGAAGGUAGUGUAGUUAACACCUGCAUUAUUUGACGUUACCUACAGAAGAAGCACCGGCUAACUCCGUGCCAGCAGCCGCGGUAAUACGGAGGGUGCGAGCGUUAAUCGGAAUUACUGGGCGUAAAGCGCAUGCAGGCGGCCUGUUAAGUCAGAUGUGAAAGCCCGGGGCUUAACCUCGGAAUUGCAUUUGAAACUGGCGGGCUAGAGUCUUGUAGAGGGGGGUAGAAUUUCAGGUGUAGCGGUGAAAUGCGUAGAGAUCUGAAGGAAUACCAGUGGCGAAGGCGGCCCCCUGGACAAAGACUGACGCUCAGAUGCGAAAGCGU
This 436-nucleotide ribosomal RNA is filed under the name uncultured bacterium. RNAcentral's name for it is "bacterial SSU rRNA". It matches the Rfam family "Bacterial small subunit ribosomal RNA", at positions 335 to 762 of the family's 1533-position model. The record is from RNAcentral.